AGUGAACGCUGGCGGUAGGCCUAACACAUGCAAGUCGAACGGCAGCACAGUAAGAGCUUGCUCUUACGGGUGGCGAGUGGCGGACGGGUGAGGAAUACAUCGGAAUCUACUUUUUCGUGGGGGAUAACGUAGGGAAACUUACGCUAAUACCGCAUACGACCUACGGGUGAAAGCAUGGGAUCUUCGGACCUUGCGCGAUUGAAUGAGCCGAUGUCGGAUUAGCUAGUUGGCGGGGUAAAGGCCCACCAAGGCGACGAUCCGUAGCUGGUCUGAGAGGAUGAUCAGCCACACUGGAACUGAGACACGGUCCAGACUCCUACGGGAGGCAGCAGUGGGGAAUAUUGGACAAUGGGCGCAAGCCUGAUCCAGCCAUACCGCGUGGGUGAAGAAGGCCUUCGGGUUGUAAAGCCCUUUUGUUGGGAAAGAAAAGCAGCAGGUUAAUACCCCGCUGUUCUGACGGUACCCAAAGAAUAAGCACCGACUAACUUCGUG
RNAcentral lists this ribosomal RNA (492 nucleotides) under uncultured bacterium. Its description in RNAcentral is "partial 16S ribosomal RNA". It matches the Rfam family "Bacterial small subunit ribosomal RNA", at positions 29 to 507 of the family's 1533-position model. The record is from RNAcentral.